Molecule: ribosomal RNA, 390 nt
Filed under: Triticum aestivum (bread wheat)
Lineage: Eukaryota; Viridiplantae; Streptophyta; Magnoliopsida; Poales; Poaceae
Description: partial small subunit ribosomal RNA
Source: RNAcentral
AUGAGUAGCCUACAUCUCAGUGUGCUUAACUGGAACGUGCGUGGGCUAAACUGCCCCCACAGAAGAACCACUGUCAAUGAAUCUAUUGCUGCUUCCGCGUGCCAUCUGGCUUGUCUCCAGGAAUCCAAACUUGAAGUCGUUGAUGCCUCCACUGCUGCUUUCCUCGGCGGAUAUAGGCUCAAGGGCUUCGCCCAGCGACCUGCUGUAGGUACGCGGGGCGGGAUUCUCCUACUGUGGAAUGAAGAUCAUGUCCAAGUUCAGAAUGUCCACUUUGGCGACUACACCCUAUCGGCACAAAUCACAAUCAUCAACACAGAUACAUCCUUCAAAUUAACCACCGUCUAUGGACCCACUAGAAACAAUCUAAAAGACGCUUUUUCCAAGAAAUGA